Molecule: ribosomal RNA, 605 nt
Filed under: Salmonella enterica
Lineage: Bacteria; Pseudomonadati; Pseudomonadota; Gammaproteobacteria; Enterobacterales; Enterobacteriaceae
Also listed under: 1 other name
Description: partial 23S ribosomal RNA
Rfam family: Bacterial large subunit ribosomal RNA
Source: RNAcentral
AGACCCGAAACCCGGUGAUCUAGCCAUGGGCAGGUUGAAGGUUGGGUAACACUAACUGGAGGACCGAACCGACUAAUGUUGAAAAAUUAGCGGAUGACCUGUGGCUGGGGGUGAAAGGCCAAUCAAACCGGGAGAUAGCUGGUUCUCCCCGAAAGCUAUUUAGGUAGCGCCUCGUGAAUUCAUCUCCGGGGGUAGAGCACUGUUUCGGCUAGGGGGCCAUCCCGGCUUACCAACCCGAUGCAAACUGCGAAUACCGGAGAAUGUUAUCACGGGAGACACACGGCGGGUGCUAACGUCCGUCGUGAAGAGGGAAACAACCCAGACCGCCAGCUAAGGUCCCAAAGUCAUGGUUAAGUGGGAAACGAUGUGGGAAGGCCCAGACAGCCAGGAUGUUGGCUUAGAAGCAGCCAUCAUUUAAAGAAAGCGUAAUAGCUCACUGGUCGAGUCGGCCUGCGCGGAAGAUGUAACGGGGCUAAACCAUGCACCGAAGCUGCGGCAGCGACGCUGAUGCGUUGUUGGGUAGGGGAGCGUUCUGUAAGCCUGCGAAGGUGGCCUGUGAGGGUUGCUGGAGGUAUCAGAAGUGCGAAUGCUGACAUAAGUAACGA